GACGAACGCUGGCGGCGUGCUUAACACAUGCAAGUCGAACGGAAAGGCCCUGCUUUGGUGGAGUGCUCGAGUGGCGAACGGGUGAGUAACACGUGAGUAACCUGCCCUUGACUUUGGGAUAACUUCUGGAAACUGCGGCUAAUACCGGAUACGAGCUCCUGCUGCAUGGUCGGGGUUUGAAAGUUUCGGCGGUUGGGGAUGGACUCGCGGCCUAUCAGCUUGUUGGUGGGGUAGUGGCUUACCAAGGCUAUGACGGGUAGCCGGCCUGAGAGGGUGACCGGCCACACUGGGACUGAGAUACGGCCCAGACUCCUACGGGAGGCAGCAGUGGGGAAUAUUGCACAAUGGGCGGAAGCCUGAUGCAGCAACGCCGCGUGCGGGAUGACGGCCUUCGGGUUGUAAACCGCUUUCAGCAGUGAAGAAGCGAGAGUGACGGUACUGGGUAAAGAAGCACCGGCUAACUACGUG
Molecule: ribosomal RNA, 468 nt
Filed under: uncultured bacterium
Lineage: Bacteria
Description: partial 16S ribosomal RNA
Rfam family: Bacterial small subunit ribosomal RNA
Source: RNAcentral